RNAcentral lists this microRNA precursor (62 nucleotides) under Blattella germanica (German cockroach). Its description in RNAcentral is "Bge-Mir-124_pre stem-loop". It matches the Rfam family "mir-124 microRNA precursor family", at positions 12 to 71 of the family's 72-position model. From Rfam's summary of the family: The mature ~21nt miRNAs are processed from hairpin precursor sequences represented here, in this case originating from the 3' arm. The record is from RNAcentral. Lineage: Eukaryota; Metazoa; Arthropoda; Insecta; Blattodea; Blattellidae.
CGUGUUCACUGUUGGCCUUGAUGUGUCGUAUUGUGGAUCAUAAGGCACGCGGUGAAUGCCAA